Molecule: long non-coding RNA, 205 nt
Organism: Hibiscus syriacus
Lineage: Eukaryota; Viridiplantae; Streptophyta; Magnoliopsida; Malvales; Malvaceae
Exons: 2
Source: RefSeq, a predicted model, not a curated record
CUCUCUCUCUACACAUUAAAACUCUGAGCUUAGAGUUGCCAUUUAAAUUUCUUUUCAGCACGCCGGCAUUUAUUUACACUUGUAGUUACACAGUGCUUUGAAUCGCAGAGUUGUUACCGCUAUCUGCAAUGGAAUCUACACAGCAGCAAAAAAGAGGAGGAGGACUGGUAUCGCUGUCUCCAUCGCAAACGCCACGUUCAAACGA